RNAcentral lists this ribosomal RNA (60 nucleotides) under Cladosporium cf. tenuissimum ENT9. Its description in RNAcentral is "partial 18S ribosomal RNA". It matches the Rfam family "Eukaryotic small subunit ribosomal RNA", at positions 1771 to 1830 of the family's 1831-position model. The record is from RNAcentral. Lineage: Eukaryota; Fungi; Ascomycota; Dothideomycetes; Cladosporiales; Cladosporiaceae.
AACUAGAGGAAGUAAAAGUCGUAACAAGGUCUCCGUAGGUGAACCUGCGGAGGGAUCAUU